GAUGAACGCUGGCGGCGUGCCUAAUACAUGCAAGUCGAGCGAACGGACGAGAAGCUUGCUUCUCUGAUGUUAGCGGCGGACGGGUGAGUAACACGUGGAUAACCUACCUAUAAAACUGGGAUCACUUCGGGAAACCGGAGCUAAUACCGGAUAAUAUUUUGAACCGCAUGGUUCAAAAGUGAAAGACGGUCUUGCUGUCACUUAUAGAUGGAUCUGCGCUGCAUUAGCUAGUUGGUAAGGUAACGGCCUAUCAAGGCAACUAUGCAUAGCCGACCUGAUAGGGUGGUCGGCCACCCGGGAGCUGGGACACGGACCAGGCUCCUACGGGAGGCAGCAGUAGGCAAUCUUCCGCAGUGGGCGAGAGCCUGACGGAGCAGCGCCGCGUGAGUGAUGACGGUCUUCGGAUCGUAAAACUCUGUUAUUAGGGAAGAACCUAUGUGUAAGUAACUGUGCACAGCGUGACGGUAACUAGUCAGAAAGCCCCGGCUAACUACGUG
This 497-nucleotide ribosomal RNA is filed under the name uncultured bacterium. RNAcentral's name for it is "partial 16S ribosomal RNA". It matches the Rfam family "Bacterial small subunit ribosomal RNA", at positions 28 to 507 of the family's 1533-position model. The record is from RNAcentral.